UCUAGUUCUGCUUGGGAUUAUCUUAACAAGCUAGCUCACCUCGUUAAAGGUUAAUGAGCUAAAAGUCUAGCUCAGCUUGACUCACAAGCUGGCUGAUUAAGCUCAUGAGCUAAAGCCCAACUCAACUAAUUAAAAUGAUGAAUUCGAGUCGACCCAAACUAAUCUUAAUAUAAGCCAAUCUAAUUCAUGAGCUUUGAGCUUUUUGUCCACCCCUAAUCGGUGGUGAUGGUCCUAGGGGUAGCGGAGGCCUUGAUGUCUGGACGGAAGAGGUUUUCCUUAGCGGUGGAGAACCGAGUUUUUGCCAAGAUUUGGUAUUAACAGUAGAAGUGGCAGCAUACGGGCUAGUGGAUUUGAGUCCAAGAGGUGAAGCAAAAGCGGAUCCCGCUAGCUCAUAUCUGUUCUGCUGGUUUUGAUUGGACAAUGACGGAGAAAGGUGGAAGACGGUGGGCGAACUGUCGGCAUGUGGUGUCAUCUCACCUGAGCAGAUGAAGAUGGUACCAACGGAGGUUUGCAGCAAUGUGCAUUAGGGGCGGCG
Molecule: long non-coding RNA, 535 nt
Filed under: Oryza brachyantha (malo sina)
Lineage: Eukaryota; Viridiplantae; Streptophyta; Magnoliopsida; Poales; Poaceae
Description: long non-coding RNA (OBRA_LNC001033)
Source: RNAcentral